GUAAUGCGUAGGAAGCUGCCCGAUAGAGGGGGAUACCAGUUGGAAACGACUGUUAAUACCGCAUAAUGUCUACGGACCAAAGUGUGGGACCUUCGGGCCACAUGCUAUCGGAUGCGCCUACGUGGGAUUAGCUAGUUGGUGAGGUAAUGGCUCACCAAGGCGACGAUCUCUAGCUGGUUUGAGAGGAUGAUCAGCCACACUGGAACUGAGACACGGUCCAGACUCCUACGGGAGGCAGCAGUGGGGAAUAUUGGACAAUGGGCGCAAGCCUGAUCCAGCCAUGCCGCGUGUGUGAAGAAGGCCUUCGGGCUGUAAAGCACUUUCAGCGAGGAGGAAGGGAUGUAUGUUAAUAGCAUGCAUUUUUGACGUUACUCGCAGAAGAAGCACCGGCUAACUCUGUGCCAGCAGCCGCGGUAAUACAGAGGGUGCAAGCGUUAAUCGGAAUUACUGGGCGUAAAGCGCACGUAGGCGGUUAGUUAAGUUGGAUGUGAAAGCCCCGGGCUCAACCUGGGAAUUGCAUUCAAAACUGGCUAACUAGAGUAUGUGAGAGGGGGGUAGAAUUCCAAGUGUAGCGGUGAAAUGCGUAGAGAUUUGGAGGAAUACCAGUGGCGAAGGCGGCCCCCUGGCACAAUACUGACGCUGAGGUG
This 647-nucleotide ribosomal RNA is filed under the name uncultured bacterium. RNAcentral's name for it is "bacterial SSU rRNA". It matches the Rfam family "Bacterial small subunit ribosomal RNA", at positions 110 to 753 of the family's 1533-position model. The record is from RNAcentral.